UGAAGAUUGGAAUGGGCACCUUAUAAGUGAAACAAUUCAUCUAUUUACUGUGUGUAUACAUAUUAGGUAGCUACUAAAUUAACAAAGUUGAGUAGCUGUUAUAUAAAAGCAAUAGAACAAUAGAAAAUUGGUUGAAAACAAUAUGGGAAGAGUUUGAAAGUCGUAAAAAAAAACAAUUUGGAAAGCUAUAACAUCAAAGUUUAUUCAUCCGACCGACGUAGUUAUGUUGAAUGUGAUGGUAUAAAAUCCUCCUGCUUUGUAGCGAGUUAGGAUGUCCCACAAGGGUCUAUGCUUGGACCGUUAUCAUUCAUACUAUUUAUAAAUAACAUUUCCCAUGAUAUCACUUCUCAUAAAUUGCUAUUUGCAGAUGGCAUGAAAAUAUAUCGUGAAAUCCAAGAUGACGCAAACUGUUUCACUUUGCAGGAGGACAUAAAUUCUUUGACUAAUUGGUGUAUUCGUAAUAAAUUGUACCUAAACACAAGUAAAUGUGAAAUAAUGACAUUCACACGUAAAAUAUUACCGGUAUCACUUGUUAGGUACUAGAUGGUGAAAGUUUAACGCGAAUCACGAAAUCAAACGAUUCCGUUUGAUCAAAAACUCGCGUUUUCCAAUCGUUUUCAGAAUGUAAUAUCAACUUCAGUGAGAAAUCUGGGUUUCUUGAUACGCAGCUGCAAGGAAUUUAAAACCUUUCAUUCUUUGAAAACAGUUUACUUAACACUGAUCAGGAGUAAAUUAGAGUACUGCAGUGUCGUUUGGAAUCCGUCCCACAUGAAACAUAUAUCUAGUUUUAGAAAAUGUUCAAAAACAUUUUUGGAAUAUGCAUAUUUCAAACAACAUGGUGCUUAUCCCGACAGGGGUUAUGGCUAUGUGUUUUACAUAUAAAAUAAUACAUGGACAGAGAGAUUGCUUGUCUCUAUUGUCUCAAAUGCUAUUCAGUGUACCGCGUGUUUCAUCUAAAUUUUGUAACACAUUUCAUAUUCCGGUUUCCAAUACACUGCAUCAUUUUCAUUCUCCCAUAACUACUAUAUCUAGAAGUGUUAAUAAUGUUCCUAGAGUAGAUAUAUUUUUUCUAACGUUCAAACAAUUCAAAAAAGAGAUUCUUCGUUUCAUUCAAAAUUAAUCUUACUAUAUGUACAAUUAAAUUUACUUUGAUUUUACUAUUCCAAGGAUGAGUCGAGUAUGAAAUGGAAGUGAAUUCAUCCUUCAAUACAAAAAUUUUAUGGACCUAUAGAAGUAGUUGAAAAUGAAAUACUACGAAACUUUUAUUGUUACAGGAUAUUUGGGGGCCACUGAAUUUACUAUUAACAUCCCCACACGAUUUGAAUUUUUCCAUACUUCUCAUUACUUUGGAGGUCUGUUGUUAAAUAUUUCAGUUGCUUCACGAUGAGUUUAUAAUUAUAUAUAUUAUAAACGUCCGUUUUUGCAAAAAUAAAAUUUGUAGGAAACAGUGUAGAUCUACUAGAUAAGAAGCGUAAUUGAAAAUACUGGGAGAUUGGCGUUCCACGGUUAUUGUAAAAAGUGAGACGAAUCAAUUUCAAGGAAAUGUAAGGUGCUCUGUCAAAAUCCUUGGCAGCUCAAGACAUCCACCAGGAAUUGCAAUAACUGUACGCUCAAUAUUCUUAGAAAUGAGCUAUUCAUUUUGUUGUUGAUGAUUUUGAUGGAUAUUUAUCAAUAAAAAGUUACACAAGUA
Molecule: long non-coding RNA, 1690 nt
Filed under: Leptinotarsa decemlineata (Colorado potato beetle)
Lineage: Eukaryota; Metazoa; Arthropoda; Insecta; Coleoptera; Chrysomelidae
Description: uncharacterized LOC111509633
Source: RNAcentral